RNAcentral lists this ribosomal RNA (776 nucleotides) under uncultured Neocallimastigales. RNAcentral's name for it is "partial large subunit ribosomal RNA". It matches the Rfam family "Eukaryotic large subunit ribosomal RNA", at positions 22 to 640 of the family's 3401-position model. Lineage: Eukaryota; Fungi; Neocallimastigomycota; Neocallimastigomycetes; Neocallimastigales. The record is from RNAcentral.
GUACACGCUGUGACUAGCAUAUCAAUAAGCGGAGGAAAAGAAACUAACAAGGAUUCCCCUAGUAACGGCGAGUGAAGCGGGAAGAGCUCAAAUUUGAAAUCUUAAAGGGUUUCCCUUUACGAAUUGUAGUUUAAAGAAGUGUUUUCUGUUGAGGUUUUGGUAAAAGUUCUUUGGAAUAGGACAUCAUAGAGGGUGAGAAUCCCGUAUUUGACCUUUACUUUCAACUUUGUGAUACACUUUACAAAGAGUCGGAUUGUUUGGGAAUGCAGUCCAAAAUGGGUGGUAAAUUUCAUCUAAAGCUAAAUAUUGGCGAGAGACCGAUAGCGAACAAGUACCGUGAGGGAAAGAUGAAAAGAACUUUGAAAAGAGAGUUAAACAGUACGUGAAAUUGUCAAAAGGGAAGCGUUUGACACCAGUGUUGUUUUUCUGAAAAUCAAUUAAAGAACUGUUUAUGCUAAGUUGUUUAGACUUUAUCAGCUAAUCUGUUUAGUUUUGAGCUUUUCUUUAAUGCACUUUUCAGUUAACAAGUCAACAUCAAUUUCUUUUGCUGUAAAAAAGCUUGAGGAAGGUGGCUUGAGAUUCGUCUUAAGUGUUUAUAGCCUCUUGCCUAUGCAGUCGGAGAGAUUGAGGUCUGCAGCGUAGAUCCUUCGGGGCUAAAUGCAUUUGUGCUAAGUUAUAGCAUUUUAUAGACAGCUUGUUGACUAUGAUUUGUCUCGUAGCUUACUCGCUUAUGUUAUUUUACCUACGCUUAGGAUGUUGAUAUGCAUGACUGAUAU